GGGGAGGAGCCCAGAGCCUGAAUCAGCAUGUGUGUUAGUGGAAGCGUCUGGAAAGGCGCGCGAUACAGGGUGACAGCCCCGUACACAAAAGCGCAUGUGCUGUGUGCUCGAUGAGUAGGGCGGGACACGUGGUUUCCUGUCUGAAUAUGGGGGGACCAUCCUCCAAGGCUAAAUACUCCUGACUGACCGAUAGUGAACCUGUACCGUGAGGGAAAGGCGAAAAGAACCCCGGCGAGGGGAGUGAAAAAGAACCUGAAACCGUGUACGUACAAGCAGUGGGAGCACCCUUUUGGGUGUGACUGCGUACCUUUUGUAUAAUGGGUCAGCGACUUAUAUUCUGUAGCAAGGUUAACCGCUAUGGGGAGCCGGAGGGAAACCGAGUCUUAAUUGGGCGUUAAGUUGCAGGGUAUAGACGCGUAACCCGGUGAUCUAGCCUUGGG
RNAcentral lists this ribosomal RNA (440 nucleotides) under Salmonella enterica subsp. enterica serovar Braenderup. Its description in RNAcentral is "bacterial LSU rRNA". It matches the Rfam family "Bacterial large subunit ribosomal RNA", at positions 289 to 740 of the family's 2925-position model. The record is from RNAcentral. Lineage: Bacteria; Pseudomonadati; Pseudomonadota; Gammaproteobacteria; Enterobacterales; Enterobacteriaceae.